CGGGGCGUCAUGGGGUGGCCCUGCCCCUCCAUCCGCGACGGCGCCGGUGGCGCCAUCUUACCCAGCUGCGGGAGGGGUCACAGGUCAGUACUGGAUCCUCUGCGAGGGAAGGAAGACGAGGUGGCUUUUCCUCGGGGCAGCCCAGGAAGGCCCCAAGAGGACAAUGGAUUCUGGAACUCGCCCUGUUGGUAGUGGCUGCAGCAGCCCCCCUGGGCUCUCACGGGAAUACAAACUAGUGAUGCUGGGUGCUGGUGGCGUAGGGAAGAGUGCCAUGACCAUGCAGUUCAUCAGUCACCGAUUCCCAGAAGAUCAUGAUCCCACCAUUGGUAAGUCAGAUCAUCACUGUGUUUCCAAAUAUAUCCCAUAAAAAUAUCUUAAUGAUAACUGUUUAUAUUUUGAGGCUUUUUUUUGGAGUCUAAUUCUGAUUUAUUUAGAAACAAGGGUAUCAACAAUUGGUAAGCAAGUGAAUAUUUCUUUUUUUCCAGACUUAACUCUGUAUGUCAUAAGCCAUCUUUAUUUUAGUCUCUGUCUCUCAUUGAACAUUAAUGGGACAACUCUCUUUGUUGUAUUUUUUUUUUGGUUGUAUAUAGGCCACUCAACGAAGCCUUUUCUUGCUG
This is an RNA transcript of Sapajus apella (tufted capuchin), 617 nucleotides long. It is a transcript of the gene named Ras like without CAAX 1, with no coding region annotated. Lineage: Eukaryota; Metazoa; Chordata; Mammalia; Primates; Cebidae. The record is from RefSeq and is a predicted model, not a curated record. The transcript has 3 exons.